Molecule: ribosomal RNA, 440 nt
Filed under: uncultured bacterium
Lineage: Bacteria
Description: partial 16S ribosomal RNA
Rfam family: Bacterial small subunit ribosomal RNA
Source: RNAcentral
CCUACAGGAGGCUGCAGUGGGGAAUAUUGCACAAUGGGGGAAACCCUGAUGCAGCGACGCCGCGUGAGCGAUGAAGUAUUUCGGUAUUUAAAGCUCUAUCAGCAGGGGAGAAAAGGACGGUACCUGACUAAGAAGCCCCGGCUAACUACGUGCCAGCAGCCGCGGUAAUACGGAGGGGGCAAGCGUUAUCCGGAUUUACUGGGUGUAAAGGGAGCGUAGAGGGCGGUGUAAGCCAGAUGUGAAAGCUUGGGGCUCAACCCCGGGACUGCAUUUGGAACUGUGCUGCUAGAGUGUCGGAGAGGCAGGCGGAAUUCCUAGUGUAGCGGUGAAAUGCGUAGAUAUUAGGAGGAACACCAGUUGCGAAGGCAGCCUGCUGGACGAUGACUGACGUUGAGGCUCGAAAGCGUGGGGAGCAAACAGGAUUAGAUACCCCUGUAGUC